Molecule: long non-coding RNA, 548 nt
Organism: Stegodyphus dumicola
Lineage: Eukaryota; Metazoa; Arthropoda; Arachnida; Araneae; Eresidae
Source: RefSeq, a predicted model, not a curated record
UGGAACACGACCAUAUGGGGUUAAAUUUAAGUCACGUAUUCAUAUUUUUCUACUUAAUUUUUUUGGUCCUAUGUGCUUGGUUUUUCAUCAUUCCAUCUUUCCUAAAUCUGCUUAGAGUGUCCAACCCAUGCUGAACAGGAUUUAGGUCGAGUAAUGGCGAAGUGCAAAAAGAGUGGUUUGAAAGGAACUUUGAGGAAAGUGCAGAAGCGAAAAGUACUUCAAGCAUGUCUGAAUUCCAAACGAUUGACCAUCCAUAAAAUGACUUGUGAGGCCUUGACACCGAAUUAUUUUUAUGGUUAAAUGUUUUGUUCAGACAACGUAGAACUCAUACAUUGAUCCAAACUAUUUCGAUUCAGGAUGAGAAAUAUCACUGUACUACUGGAAUUCGAAAUAGCUUUAUAUCGAUUACUGUAAAUUUUCCUCUCAAAAUGGAUGUAUUAUAAAAUUCCUAAGAAAUUUUAUGACAUAUGUUUUAGUAGGAUUACUUGCAUUAUUAUGUGCAUUUCUUUGCAAUGGGUUUAAUAAAAACUGAAAACAUCUCUUUAUAA